GACGAACGCUGGCGGCGUGCCUAAUACAUGCAAGUAGAACGCUGAAGGAGGAGCUUGCUUCUCUGGAUGAGUUGCGAACGGGUGAGUAACGCGUAGGUAACCUGCCUGGUAGCGGGGGAUAACUAUUGGAAACGAUAGCUAAUACCGCAUAAUAGUAGAUGUUGCAUGACAUUUGCUUGAAAGGUGCAAUUGCAUCACUACCAGAUGGACCUGCGUUGUAUUAGCUAGUUGGUGGGGUAACGGCUCACCAAGGCGACGAUACAUAGCCGACCUGAGAGGGUGAUCGGCCACACUGGGACUGAGACACGGCCCAGACUCCUACGGGAGGCAGCAGUAGGGAAUCUUCGGCAAUGGACGGAAGUCUGACCGAGCAGCGCCGCGUGAGUGAAGAAGGUUUUCGGAUCGUAAAGCUCUGUUGUAAGAGAAGAACGAGUGUGAGAGUGGAAAGUUCACACUGUGACGGUAUCUUACCAGAAAGGACG
RNAcentral lists this ribosomal RNA (482 nucleotides) under Streptococcus mitis. Its description in RNAcentral is "bacterial SSU rRNA". It matches the Rfam family "Bacterial small subunit ribosomal RNA", at positions 28 to 494 of the family's 1533-position model. Lineage: Bacteria; Bacillati; Bacillota; Bacilli; Lactobacillales; Streptococcaceae. The record is from RNAcentral.